UGCAGUCGACGAUGAUGCCCAGCUUGCUGGGUUGAUUAGUGGCGAACGGGUGAGUAACACGUGAGUAACCUGCCCCUGACUCUGGGAUAAGCGUUGGAAACGACGUCUAAUACUGGAUAUGAUCGCCGGCCGCAUGGUCUGGUGGUGGAAAGAUUUUUUGGUUGGGGAUGGACUCGCGGCCUAUCAGCUUGUUGGUGAGGUAAUGGCUCACCAAGGCGACGACGGGUAGCCGGCCUGAGAGGGUGACCGGCCACACUGGGACUGAGACACGGCCCAGACUCCUACGGGAGGCAGCAGUGGGGAAUAUUGCACAAUGGGCGAAAGCCUGAUGCAGCAACGCCGCGUGAGGGAUGACGGCCUUCGGGUUGUAAACCUCUUUUAGUAGGGAAGAAGCGAAAGUGACGGUACCUGCAGAAAAAGCACCGGCUAACUACGUGCCAGCAGCCGCGGUAAUACGUAGGGUGCAAGCGUUGUCCGGAAUUAUUGGGCGUAAAGAGCUCGUAGGCGGUUUGUCGCGUCUGCUGUGAAAUCCCGAGGCUCAACCUCGGGCUUGCAGUGGGUACGGGCAGACUAGAGUGCGGUAGGGGAGAUUGGAAUUCCUGGUGUAGCGGUGGAAUGCGCAGAUAUCAGGAGGAACACCGAUGGCGAAGGCAGAUCUCUGGGCCGUAACUGACGCUGAGGAGCG
This 685-nucleotide ribosomal RNA is filed under the name Curtobacterium flaccumfaciens. RNAcentral describes it as "bacterial SSU rRNA". It matches the Rfam family "Bacterial small subunit ribosomal RNA", at positions 56 to 755 of the family's 1533-position model. The record is from RNAcentral. Lineage: Bacteria; Bacillati; Actinomycetota; Actinomycetes; Micrococcales; Microbacteriaceae.